CUGUCUGCACUUCCUGGCGAUCCUCUGUUCCAUUUCCUUCCUUUGAUGAAGAUAUUCCUCCUCUCAUCCUUAAACUUCCUAUGCCCAUCGGCGUCGAUGCCGUUCUUUCUCAGGCCACCAUUUGCAGAAUGGAAUUUUCCCGUCAGAAUAAAAAUUCUUUUUCUUCCGAAUCAAAGCCCAAGGCCUGGUUAACUAAAAUUGGAGAGACAAAACUGGGUAAAUUGAAGUUUUUUCAUCCACUCUCAAAUUCCCAAGUCAGGUACUCUCCAAUCAUGUUGAACUUGCUGGACUUCCGGUUUUUCGUGUUAAGUAAAGCUUUCAUGCUUAAAUCCCUAUCUGGAUUCUAUCUUUUUGGGAUAAAUAAAGUUCUUUUAUUUCCAAGUUCUGCUAGAUAUAGUGAACAUGAGCUUUCCAUUCUUGCCAUUUACCACGAAGGAAAAUUGGGUUAUUGGAAAUAUGGAGAUGAGAGUUGGACGCUUUUAGAUGAUAAGAAUUUUCAAUAUGAUGACAUUAUUGAAUAUAAGGGCCAAUUUUAUGU
RNAcentral lists this unclassified non-coding RNA (538 nucleotides) under Hevea brasiliensis (rubber tree). The record is from RNAcentral. Lineage: Eukaryota; Viridiplantae; Streptophyta; Magnoliopsida; Malpighiales; Euphorbiaceae.